CUCUGAAAACCCUUCCAAAAUUAAUGUGGUGACAUCCACUCUAUACAAGGAUUCUCCUCCCCCAUCCUCAUCUUAAAAUAGAGUGUUCCCUCUUUUGUCUUACCCUUCAUAAUAGAAGAGAUUCAUGGGGAGCAACAGAGGAUCAUAGAAUCAGUGCAAGAACUUCGAUUUAGGGUUGAAGAACUCUCUAAUCAAGUUCUUUUUGCCACGGACCACAUCAAGGAAGAAAUAAUAUAAAACAUUUAGUCAACUUAUUAUGUUUUUUUAUUUCAUGAAAUUGUAAAUUAUAUUUAUGACUAUUCAUCUAUUUUGAAAAAUGACUUUUUUUUUCUUUCCUUUGAUUCUUAUUUUGUAAAGAAUGGCUUGUGAGCAGUGAGCAGUAAUGUGAUUCAUAUUAGCGUGUGUCGCUACUUUGGUUUUGUAUUUUAAUAUUUUAUUCAGUUCAUGUGUUGUUAGUUCUUCAACUAUGUUAUUGACUUGCAGGUAAUCUGAAUUAUACGAUGGAUGAGCUGAUGAGUAUGAUAUUGAAUAUGGACCAGCAGUUUGAUGCUCAAGACACUCAGUUUAGGAAGAUGAAGGCAUCGAUUCAAAGGUGAAAAACUCCACAGCCAUCAACAUGUCCCUUCACAUUACUUCUCAUCCCUCUACCAUGGUGAUUUUUCCACCCCUAACCCAAAUUCUCCUUCAAAACCGGAUGGCAUUUAUGAUGAUUAGUGAUGUUUUUAAUUUUGUGCAAUUUUGUUUUGUCUAUGACAUUGUGUUUUAGACACAUUUUGAUUUUGGUUUGUAAUAAUUUUGAUUUCUGACUGGUUUUCCUUGGUACACGCCCUUUUUGAAGUUGUCAAAAGGGGACAAACUUAUGUUGUGUAUGUUGCGUGUUAUGUUAUGUUUGCUUCAUGAUGAUGUAUUAUGUUUGUUUAUGCUUGUUA
Molecule: long non-coding RNA, 929 nt
Organism: Medicago truncatula (barrel medic)
Lineage: Eukaryota; Viridiplantae; Streptophyta; Magnoliopsida; Fabales; Fabaceae
Exons: 2
Source: RefSeq, a predicted model, not a curated record